GCCGCCGGCCGGGUUGCAGGCGGGGCACCUCGGGCAGGACCUCCCUGGUCAGAAGUGGCCGUGAGCCCGAGCCGCGGUCCCGGGUGAGUACGGGGCGGGGCGGAGGCAUGUGCGAGGCUCUCUGCCUGUGCCCUGGAAGGUGGGGAUUGUAACUCGCGGAGGGAUGGAGCACGCGUCGUCGCCUGGGAAACGGAUCGACCCGCGGAAGGCGAGCGGGUGGGACUUCCGGAGCAGUUAAUGGCCGGCACCCAGGAUGGGCGAGGUGGAGGCCCCAGGCCGUUUGUGGCUCGAGAGCCCCCCUGGGGGAGCGCCCCCUAUCUUCCUGCCCUCGGACGGGCAAGCUCUGGUCCUGGGCAGGGGACCCCUGACCCAGGUCACGGACCGGAAGUGCUCCAGAACUCAAGCCUGCAGCAGGCCACACUCCCCAGAAAUGAGGGAACCAAUCACACAAGGAUGCAAAUCCUGACUCCACCCCUCCAAUCCUCAGUGGAGCUGGUCGCAGAUCCUGAAACCCGGACAGUGGCAGUGAAACAGCUGGGAGUUAACCCCUCAACUGCCGGGACCCAGGAGUUGAAGCCGGGGUUGGAGGGCUCUCUGGGGGUGGGGGACACACUGUAUUUGGUCAAUGGCCUCCACCCACUGACCCUGCGCUGGGAAGAGACCCGCACACCAGAAUCCCAGCCAGAUACUCCGCCUGGCACCCCUCCGGUGUCCCAAGAGGAGAAGAGAGAUGCUGAGCUGCCGAAGAAGCGUAUGCGGAAGUCAAACCCCGGCUGGGAGAACUUGGAGAAGUUGCUAGUGUUCACCGCAGCUGGGGUGAAACCCCAGAGCAAGGUGGCUGGCUUUGAUCUGGACGGGACCCUCAUCACCACACGCUCUGGGAAGGUCUUUCCCACUGGCCCCAGUGACUGGAGGAUCUUGUACCCAGAGAUUCCCCGUAAGCUCCGAGAGCUGGAAGCCGAGGGCUACAAGCUGGUGAUCUUCACCAACCAGAUGAGCAUCGGGCGCGGGAAGCUGCCAGCCGAGGAGUUCAAGGCCAAGGUGGAGGCUGUGGUGGUGAAGCUGGGGGUCCCCUUCCAGGUGCUGGUGGCCACGCACGCAGGCUUGUACCGGAAGCCGGUGACAGGCAUGUGGGACCAUCUGCAGGAGCAGGCCAACGAGGGCGCGCCCAUCUCCAUCGGGGACAGCAUCUUUGUGGGAGACGCAGCCGGACGCCCGGCCAACUGGGCCCCAGGGCGGAAGAAGAAAGACUUCUCCUGCGCAGAUCGCCUGUUUGCCCUCAACCUUGGCCUGCCCUUCGCCACGCCUGAGGAGUUCUUUCUGAAGUGGCCAGCAGCCGGCUUCGAGCUCCCAGCCUUUGAUCCGAGAACUGUCUCCCGCUCAGGGCCUCUCUGCCUCCCCGAGUCCAGGGCCCUCCUGAGCGCUAGCCCGGAGGUGGUUGUCGCAGUGGGAUUCCCUGGGGCCGGGAAGUCCACCUUUCUCAAGAAGCACCUCGUGUCUGCCGGAUAUGUCCAUGUGAACAGGGACACGCUAGGCUCCUGGCAGCGCUGUGUGACCACGUGUGAGACAGCCCUGAAGCAAGGGAAACGGGUCGCCAUUGACAACACCAACCCGGACGCCGCGAGCCGCGGCAGGUACGUCCAGUGUGCCCGAGCCGCGGGUGUCCCCUGCCGCUGCUUCCUCUUCACCGCCACUCUGGAGCAGGCGCGCCACAACAACCGGUUUCGAGAGAUGACGGACUCCUCUCAUGUCCCCGUGUCAGACAUGGUCAUGUAUGGCUACAGGUACUGUUGGGGAUACCAGGGGGCAGGGCACUGGCUGGGCCACGAGCCAGACUGUCCCUCACUGUUCCCACCACUGCCAGGAAGCAGUUCGAGGCCCCAACGCUGGCCGAAGGCUUCUCUGCCAUCCUGGAGAUCCCGUUCCGGCUAUGGGUGGAGCCGAGGCUGGGGCGGCUGUACCGCCAGUUCUCCGAGGGCUGAGCCCCGCCCAGCUCCCCUCCACAAUAAAUGCUGUUUCUCUUUGAGCUUGGCCGGCAUUUUGCUGGAAGGAGGGUGGUCCCCAUGGGAAAGGGGCUCCAGGCCUGCCACACUUUCUUACAUGGAUAGAGGCUUUAAGAACAUUUUCAGGUAACAAAAGGUGGGGCCCCUACAGAGGGGAGUCCAGCUUUGCUGGGACCUGGCAUGAGCACUUUAGACAUUAGCCGGGGAACGCACAGGGAGGGCACUGUGUGGCCCCAAGAGCCAGCUGGUGAGCCCACGAGCCCCAACCGAGGGGCUGGCUCAAGGCCAGGUGUGACCCCUGAGGACAAAAUCCAGCUCAGGUUCUGUGACACUGAACUUGAACUCAAGGCCUGUGGGUCUGGAGAUUGGGGAGGGAAGAGGGUGUGGGCAGCCGAGAGCCAAACCCAGUGAGUUCCCGGGCUGUCCAGCCUGCUGGGCCACCUUACAGCUAGGGGACUGCCAGGCAUGGGGCAGUGAGCAGAGGGAGCAGGCAGGUUUUUAAAAGGCUUUAUUGGGGAAACGUAGAGGGGUGGGGACCGUCCUUGGAGGCCUCAGGACACCAUCCUCCAUGUUGCUGGGCAGUUGAAGUCCCCAGGGGCCCCUGCUCAGAAGCGUGUCACCUGGGGGCAGGGGUGCAGUGGGGGCUGCUGGCCACAGGCUCCCAAACACUGACCCUACAUCCCUGUGAGCAGAGGCCUGGCCCCACCCAGGCCUGGACACCACCUCCCACGGCCCUAUGGCCGGGCUGCAGUUUCCCAACAGCCUAGGACUGCUGGGACCGCUGCCUCUCCCUCUGCUCUGCUCUCCCGAAGGCCAAGGUUGCCCUGCUUCUUUCCCAACCCCACCCCCCACAUGCCCCAGGGUCCCUCCUGUACAUGACAGGGUCACCACUCACCAGUCUCUGCGGGGGCCUCAUCUGUGACUCCUGGAGAGGCCCAGCCUGGGGUAGCCACUACCCCCCCAUCUGUGGGGAGAAAUCGAAGGCCAGUGGUGAGCAGGCAGGGGGGUGGAGGGAGGCUGAGCAGCCCUGGAGCCCGGCCACCUCACCCCUCGUUGCUGCUGCUCCUGCUCCAGGUUCCGCUGCAGGACCUGCUGCUGGUUGGCAAUGACACGCCGGAUGCCGUUGACAAAGUUGCCCUGGUCAUGGGGGAUGAGGCCGAUGAAGAUUUUCUUCUCUGAAGAGUACAGGAGCAUAAGCACGCGGAUCUCACACGAUGCUUUGUAGGAAAAGUGCACGCAGCCGGCCUGGCAGGCAGAGGGCGUGGUGUCACCAGACAGCACCACAGGGACUCAGGCUGCAGGGACCAGCAUCCCUCCAACCAUGGCACCAUGCCAUGGGCUCCAUGAGCCAGGCACAGCCUAAUUGCUCUGUCCUCACCCACCCCAGAGGUGGGCCCCCUUAUUAGGAUGACACGGUGGCCAAGAGCAAUGGGUGGGCCAAAGACCAACAGGCUCUGUCGGGAAGGGCCCAAGAACCUGCAUUUCGGAGCUCCUGGGCAGGCCAGGCUGUGUCUGGGGCCACCUCACCACAGCCACCUGAGCCAGCCGGCCACAGCUUCAACUCAGGAGCCCGAGGGAUCUGCAGUGGCCGGCCCAGCACAAGCAAGGGCUGAGGUAACAUGGAGCCUUUCUGGGUUUCCUUGAGGAAACUUUUUUUUUUUUGAGACUGUGAGUUUCGCUCUUGUCGCCCAGGCUGGAGUGCAAUGGCAUGAUCUCAGCUCCCUGCAACCUCUGCCUCCCAGGUUCAAGCCAUUCUUGUGACUCAGCCUCCUGAGUGGCCACCAUGCCUGGCUAAUUUUUGUAUUUUUAGUAGAGACGGGGUUUCACCAUGUUAGCCAGGCUGGUCUCAAACUCCUGACCUCAGGUGAUCCACCUGCCUCAGCCUCCCAAAGUGCUGGGAUUGCAGGCGUGAGUCACCACACCCGGCCCCUGAGGGAACGCUUGAAAUUGCUUUAACACCCAGGCCUCACCCCCUCCCCCACCCCCCGCCCACGAACAGCUUCGUGGACAGUUUACUCAGACCGACUCGAAGGUAAUUUUAAGGUAGUUUUGGGAUAUUACCCAAGUAUGGCCCAGCUGGAAGGUGGACAUCAGGGGGGAGGGCUCAGAAGCACCAAAGUCCAACCUUCUCUACUCACAGAUGGAGAAACUGAGCCCCAGAGAGAGAAGAGUCAGCUGAGACUCCCCCAGAUAAGAUGAUCACCAGAUAUUCUGGGACCUUGCUGGGGACAGACAGCCCUCCCUGCCCGGCAAUGGGCCUUUGGGAUGUGGCACAAGCUCCCGGGAAACCUGGAGUGACAAGGGCGCCUGUCCCUGGGGAGCGGAGAGCGCGGAGUUGGUGCUGAGUCAGCCCUGACGUGGCAGAGGAGGAGCAGGCCCCUGCAGAACCAGGCUGGUCCGGGACAUGGUGCUCUGUUCCUCUCCCAUGUCCGCCCCUGUGAGCGGUCCUGGCUCGCUCUGCCCUGGCCGGCCCCUCCCCAGCAUCUGCUGGCACCACUCACGAAGCCGUUGUCCAUGAUCCGGCACAGGCUCUUCAGUGUCUCCAGGUCCUUGGUGAAGUGGAACUGGACCAGGCGAAACGUCAUCUCCACCGCUCAACCAGCCCAACCCUGGAGUGCUGUGGAAGCCGCUCUCAGAUCCCUUGGCAGCCCCCAAGGUGCAAGUCGUGGCUGCCCCUGCCCCACUCAGUCCCUGCACAGCCACCAGCUGGCUGCCUGGGACCCCUUGGAGCCAGGCCUGAGGACCUACCCACCGCACCUGCUUCAGCACCCUCAGCUCUGCUCCCUCACAGCCAGCUCAGGCCACCCGGGGAGGCACUCUUGCCCCCAGCCCCGCCAUCUGUAAUAGCUACUGCGUGCAGGCUCAAGCACCUGGCCCCAGCCCCUCACCAGCAGCUGCUGUGGGAUGAGCUGCAUGUACAGCUUCCUUGGCCACUGCUCGGUCCUCCUGUGGGGCACAAGGGGACGAGGGUCAGGAAGCCCCAGCUCCCCUGGAUGCUGCCUCCACCCCCUAGCCCAGCACUCACAGGAUCUCCCCCUGGUUCACGUAGACGUGGGAUGGCAGCCACCUCUUGGACCGACUGUUGGGCUCAGGCCUGGGCUUUUGGGGGAGAGGCAAAGAGAAGCCCUCAGGGCUGGAGACCCCCAACCCCAGUGUCCCCUCCCAGCCACAGUCCGUGAGGAUCUGGGGGUCCCAGUUCCCCGGGCUGCCGAGGGCUCACCUCCUGCCACUCCAUGACGCCACUCCAUGCCAGAAACUUGUUGUUGACGAUCUGGACUGGGCCUGAGUUGACACCACCAGGUCCCACUGCCUGUUGGAAGGGAAGGGGGUGGGAAGAGAGGCCCAGGCUCCUGGGAAACCUCUGUUUGUCCUGGGGCCUGCCAUCCCUCCCUCUGAGCCUUGGCCUGUUAGCCGCAGCUGGGUCCAUUCUCUAGCCCCAGGGGAAGAGGCCCUGCCCCUCACCUGCUCACAGCCCCCCAUGGCUCCCCAGUGGCCUGAGACAGGUCCCGGCCCUCACCUGGUGCACAGGACCUGCAGAGUCUGCCUCAACUGGCAAGGCAUGACCAGGACACGUGGUCACUGGGCAGGGCCUUCCAGCCGCACGAUGAUCCCAACCCCUGCCCAGCUCCCCGCUCCACUGGCUUCCCUGCCGCUGCACCAAGACCCACCCUCCAGCCCUUCAGAGCCACCUAGUGGCCGCUUUUCCAUGGAGCCCUGGUGGGAACCCGCCCAGCCUCCUCUGGGCUCCCCUGCAGCUCCUUGCUCCAGCUAUUGCAUCACACUCCGCCCACAUCAAGUCUGGCUGCCCAACCAGGGCAGUGGGGCCUAAUCCCCCUCUGUCCCCAGAGGGGCUGUGCUUGGCUGGCACACCUGCUUGCGGGUGGUGAUGACCUGCCGGAUGGCACUGACGAAGCCACUCUGGUCGUAGGGGAUGAGGCCCAUGAAGAUUUUCUUCUUGGACGAGUACAGGAGCAUGAGCACGCGCACCUCACAGGGGGAGAUGUGGGGGAACAGCAUGCAGCCCGCCUGUGGGGGCCACGGGUCAGGACCCUGUGGGCACUGCCCAGGGGUGCUGUGCCCCCACCACCCUGGACCGCCCCCCCCGUAGGGAAUGAAGGGAGAUCAUCGGCGGACAGAGGCCCCCACAGUCAAGGCCAUGGCCAUAGGUGAGGGGCCUCUGAGAGCCCGUGCAGCGCCUAUCGGCAUCCUCUGACCCCGCCGUGGCUGAAGUCAGAGUGGCACCCAGCACCCAGGCUGCGGUGAGAAUGCCGAGAAGGCACCACCUCCCGCCCACCUCACCCUCUGCCGCCAGCCCUCCUGACUGCCUGAUGGGGUGACCUGGCCUGGGGGUUAAGAGCACAGGCAGCGCCCCACCGUUCUGCUGCCUCCUAGCUGUGUGACCUAACACCAGCCACCUCCUGCUUCUGGGCCUCCAUCAUCUGUAAAACCGGGUAAUAGUGCACACAGCUGGUGCCACAUAAAGGCUCAACAGAUAAA
Molecule: RNA transcript, 6500 nt
Organism: Pongo pygmaeus (Bornean orangutan)
Lineage: Eukaryota; Metazoa; Chordata; Mammalia; Primates; Hominidae
Gene: PNKP
Gene name: polynucleotide kinase 3'-phosphatase
Exons: 18
Source: RefSeq, a predicted model, not a curated record